Molecule: transfer RNA, 77 nt
Filed under: Deltaproteobacteria bacterium
Lineage: Bacteria; Pseudomonadati; Myxococcota; Myxococcia
Description: tRNA-Lys
Rfam family: tRNA
About the family: Transfer RNA (tRNA) molecules are approximately 80 nucleotides in length. Their secondary structure includes four short double-helical elements and three loops (D, anti-codon, and T loops).
Source: RNAcentral
GGGCCGUUAGCUCAGUUUGGUAGAGCAGUUGACUUUUAAUCAAUUGGUCAGGAGUUCAAAUCUCCUACGGCCCACCA